Molecule: long non-coding RNA, 916 nt
Organism: Gallus gallus (chicken)
Lineage: Eukaryota; Metazoa; Chordata; Aves; Galliformes; Phasianidae
Source: Ensembl
CAAUUUCCAUAAGGUGAAUACAGAAAGGAACUACAAGCAUUGGAAAUGAAUGGGGGAGUUUAAUUCAGCCGCGUUUCACUCCCACUGAGGAGGCAUACAGAUGGCUGCACAGAACUCAGCAAAAACAGAGCCAGGAGUCAGGGAGAGGGAGACUUCAACUGGGGUUUCGAGUGGAGUUGCUCAUUUAUUUCCCCCUGUAUCAGUCUGCCUCCUGGGAUAUCGCAUGGACAGGUACAGGCAAACAGUUCCAAAUAAGGGAAUGCAUGCUGUGCGAGUGUAAUGCUCUGCUUUCCUUAGUGGCAUGUUUUCAGCAAGUUUGCCAUGUGCUACAGCUGGCCUAGGCAGGAUUUUGCAAAAGGAAAGAAGAAUAUUCACACUAAGGUCCCUGAAGCCACACUUCUGCAAACUAGCAGCUACCAAAAACAUAUAUGAGGGCUGCUCUGAAAGUAAUGUCUCCUACUUUAUUAUAUUGGCCCAUGACGACAGAAGUGGAUGUAGGUGGGAUGGCAGUAGAGGUUGAACCUUGGCUUGGGAGCAGACUGUACAAUCUGCAGGAGAAAGCACCGUCUUCUGAUGGUUUGAGAAGCACCCAGAGUACUUUGAGUCUAGGCAGAGUAAAAGUAGAACUAAUAAUGCUGGAGACCAGGACUUGUACUUCAAAACCCUACAACUGAUGGAUCUCAAGUAUAUGCUAUUGACCAGAAGUGUAUUCAAUUUGCAACCCUAUGUGUCCAGUAAAUCCAUUACUUAUUGCAGGGUUAUCUCAGGGGGCUUUAAAUUUUCACCUGGGUUGCUGAAAUCAUAAUUUUACCUAGGCUAUUUUAGAUAUUUUAGAACUAGAAAGCAGGAAUAAGAGAGUAAUAAAUCAUAUAAUACAAAGCAGAAGGGACUUCAGCCUCUAACUGGUGAAUUUAAG